GGGGAGCCCCAGCCUUUGAGGCCCAGGAAGGGUGAGCCAGGCUGAGGCCAGUGUCUCAACCCUUGUCUCUGAAAGGAGCAGUGGAUCCAGGUCAGGAAGCCCACCAGCUUUCCCCCGACCCUACACUGCCACCGAGGCGGGCCCUUCACAUUCCUAGGGUGGAGGGGAUGGAGGCUUCCAGCCGCCACACUUCUAGGAGCUGGGGAGACAGCAGCACAGAGGGCAUUUAUGGAAUACUUGCAUUUAUGGAACGCAUGCAGGCUCUGAGCUCAUUCUUUGUUGUGACUGCUGCCUUUAACCCUCACAAUAACUGGUGCUUUGGGAACUGUUAUUAUUUCCACUUUACCCAUGAGGACGACACGGCCCAGGGAGGAAAGAACUCGUCCAAGUUCCAUGCCAGGGAGAUGCGGAGCUGGGAUUUGAUCAAGCCUCUUUUAGGUCACAGACCCUCUGAGAAUCGGACAAGAGCCGAAGACGCACAAAAGAUGCACAGAGAAACAUCUUCCUAAGAUGUCAGGAGGCCACAGAUUCUCUCUAGCCUCUGCAUAGGAGUCAUGACCACAGUUUAACACUCUCCAUGCUUCAUGAAUUAUCAGAUGAAGAGGGGCCUUGGAUUCCCCUGGACUGAAGAGGAGGGUCACAUCCAAAGCCCAGACCUUCCUUUUUUUAAUCUGAAUAUUUUUGUGUGGGUCAUUUCAGCUUAGUUAGCAGUUUCGAAAGGGAUCUGUACGGGUUUAGUAUUUAAUUUCUUGAAAAAGUAAACUAUUUUUACUUUGUUUUGUUUUAAAAUGUUUAAGUUUUUAAAUUUAUGUAAUUCCAAACUUACAGAAAAGUAACAUGAACAAUACAAGGAACACCUAUAUUCCCUGUUUUGUUAAUUACAAAAUAAUAUUAACAAUGAUGAUGAUGAUUAAAAUAUAUGCCCAUUGUAACAUAUCAAAUGAUGCUGAAGUGUGUGAAGAAAAAGUUAAUAGUCUCCCAUAAUAAAAUACAGAAGUAUAAGCAAUACACUUUGGUAAAUCUUCCAACACACUGCCAUAUACCUUCUCUAAGUCUCUCCAAACAUAUGUACAUGUAAAUCAUAUAUAUUUAUACAAAUAUGUUCCUUUUGCCAUAAAAAAUUGUUUUUUUUUUUUUGAGACAGGGUCUUGCUCUGUGGCUCAGGCCAAGUACAGUGGCUCAAUCACAGCUCACUGCAGUCUCAAACUCCUGGGCUCAAGCAAUCCUCUUGCCUCAGCCUCCCAAGUAGCUGGGACAACAGGUAGGCACCACCACAUCUGGCUAAUUUUAAAAUUUUUUGUAGAGACGGGGUCUCACUUUGUUGCCCAGGCUGGUCUCAAACUCCUGGGCUCAAGCAAUCCUCCCAUCUUGGCCUCCCAAAGUUUUGGGAUUACAGGUGUGAGCCACUGGGACUGCCCCACAAUCUUAUUUUAUAUAUACAGAAUAGUCUCUAUGUAUAAGAUUUAUGUCUUCUGUUAAUUGAAGGCCUUAAUACAGUCAUCCAAGGCUGGUUUAAUGACCUCCAACCAUCAACAAGGAAGACGUUUGGAGAAACAUGAGGGAAAAGGAAAACACAGGCAGAGAAUCAAGGGGAUUAUUGGGUGACUUCCAAGGAGUGUGAGUGAACCUUGGGUCCACUCAAUGCACAGCACCUCACAAUAUGCUUCUUUCAUUUAACAUUCUCCCUGGACCUCUCUCUAGGUCGACUCUUGUGAUGCUACCUCAUUCUUGUUAAUCAUUUCAUACUUUUUCAUUACGUGGCUGGGUGACUUGAUUCACCCCUUCUUCCACUGAUAGCAUUCAGGUCAUUUCUGAUUUGUUGCAGUGAUUAUUGCAGACAAUGUCGGACUAAUCAUCCUGAGAUAUAUGUCUUUAAAGACUGGGCUGUGUAGCCCAUUGUACUAGUCUAUUCUCAUGCUGCUAAUAAAGACAUACCUGAGACUGGGUAAUUUAUAAGGGGAAGAGGUUUGAUUGACUCACAGUUCAGCAUGGCUGGGAGGCCUCAGGAAACUUACAAUCAUGGCAGAAAGGGGAGCAAUCAUGUCCUUCUUCACAUGGCAGCAGCAAGGAGACGUGCCAAACAAAACGGGGAAAAGCCCCUUAUAAAAUCAUCAGAUCUCAUGAGAACUCACUCACUAUCACAGGAAGAGCAUGAAGGCAACUGCCCCCGUGAUUAAAUUACCCCCCACCGGCUCCCUCCAAUGACACAUGGGGAUUAUGAGAGCUACAACUCAAUAUGAGAUUUGGGUGGGGACACAGCCAAACCAUAUCACCCGUUUAGUAUCUUUGUGCAAAUUAGCAAAAAAUACCCCUCCCAUAGACACCAGCCUGUAACAAAGUACGCAGCUUGGCAAGUGGCGUGUAGGCCGGAUUCCAGCCCUACAUGCCCCAUCGGUGUGGUGUCCUUCCUUGUGCAGUGAACAACCUGCACAUCCUUAUAUGGUAGUCUCAUCUUCCACACUCUGUUUCUUUCUCCCCCUGUAAGACGGCUCCCUAAACGUUAGACUGCCAGGACGAAGGGUCUGUGAGCAUUUUUUU
This 2538-nucleotide long non-coding RNA is filed under the name Homo sapiens (human). Its description in RNAcentral is "HSALNT0003281". The record is from RNAcentral. Lineage: Eukaryota; Metazoa; Chordata; Mammalia; Primates; Hominidae.